RNAcentral lists this ribosomal RNA (484 nucleotides) under uncultured bacterium. RNAcentral describes it as "partial 16S ribosomal RNA". It matches the Rfam family "Bacterial small subunit ribosomal RNA", at positions 30 to 507 of the family's 1533-position model. The record is from RNAcentral.
AUUGAACGCUGGCGGAAUGCUUUACACAUGCAAGUCGAACGGCAGCACGGGGGCAACCCUGGUGGCGAGUGGCGAACGGGUGAGUAAUACAUCGGAACGUGCCCGUUCGUGGGGGAUAACGUAGCGAAAGUUACGCUCAUACCGCAUACGCUCUGAGGAUGAAAGCGGGGGACCUUCGGGCCUCGCGCGAUCGGAGCGGCCGAUGUCAGAUUAGGUAGUUGGUGGGGUAAAGGCCUACCAAGCCGACGAUCUGUAGCUGGUCUGAGAGGACGAGCAGCCACACUGGGACUGAGACACGGCCCAGACUCCUACGGGAGGCAGCAGUGGGGAAUUUUGGACAAUGGGCGCAAGCCUGAUCCAGCCAUUCCGCGUGCAGGACGUAGGCCUUCGGGUUGUAAACUGCUUUUGCAUGGAACGAAAAGGCUCUGGCUAAUACCUGGGGCUCAUGACGGUACCGUAAGAAUAAGCACCGGCUAACUACGUG